AGAGUUUGAUCAUGGCUCAGAUUGAACGCUGGCGGCAGGCCUAACACAUGCAAGUCGAGCGGUAGCACAGAGAGCUUGCUCUCGGGUGACGAGCGGCGGACGGGUGAGUAAUGUCUGGGAAACUGCCUGAUGGAGGGGGAUAACUACUGGAAACGGUAGCUAAUACCGCAUAAUGUCGCAAGACCAAAGUGGGGGACCUUCGGGCCUCAUGCCAUCAGAUGUGCCCAGAUGGGAUUAGCUAGUAGGUGGGGUAACGGCUCACCUAGGCGACGAUCCCUAGCUGGUCUGAGAGGAUGACCAGCCACACUGGAACUGAGACACGGUCCAGACUCCUACGGGAGGCAGCAGUGGGGAAUAUUGCACAAUGGGCGCAAGCCUGAUGCAGCCAUGCCGCGUGUGUGAAGAAGGCCUUCGGGUUGUAAAGCACUUUCAGCGGGGAGGAAGGCGUUAAGGUUAAUAACCUUGGCGAUUGACGUUACCCGCAGAAGAAGCACCGGCUAACUCCGUGCCAGCAGCCGCGGUAAUACGGAGGGUGCAAGCGUUAAUCGGAAUUACUGGGCGUAAAGCGCACGCAGGCGGUCUGUCAAGUCGGAUGUGAAAUCCCCGGGCUCAACCUGGGAACUGCAUUCGAAACUGGCAGGCUAGAGUCUUGUAGAGGGGGGUAGAAUUCCAGGUGUAGCGGUGAAAUGCGUAGAGAUCUGGAGGAAUACCGGUGGCGAAGGCGGCCCCCUGGACAAAGACUGACGCUCAGGUGCGAAAGCGUGGGGAGCAAACAGGAUUAGAUACCCUGGUAGUCCACGCCGUAAACGAUGUCGAUUUGGAGGUUGUGCCCUUGAGGCGUGGCUUCCGGAGCUAACGCGUUAAAUCGACCGCCUGGGGAGUACGGCCGCAAGGUUAAAACUCAAAUGAAUUGACGGGGGCCCGCACAAGCGGUGGAGCAUGUGGUUUAAUUCGAUGCAACGCGAAGAACCUUACCUGGUCUUGACAUCCACAGAACUUUCCAGAGAUGGAUUGGUGCCUUCGGGAACUGUGAGACAGGUGCUGCAUGGCUGUCGUCAGCUCGUGUUGUGAAAUGUUGGGUUAAGUCCCGCAACGAGCGCAACCCUUAUCCUUUGUUGCCAGCGGUUCGGCCGGGAACUCAAAGGAGACUGCCAGUGAUAAACUGGAGGAAGGUG
This 1175-nucleotide ribosomal RNA is filed under the name Klebsiella pneumoniae. Its description in RNAcentral is "bacterial SSU rRNA". It matches the Rfam family "Bacterial small subunit ribosomal RNA", at positions 8 to 1175 of the family's 1533-position model. Lineage: Bacteria; Pseudomonadati; Pseudomonadota; Gammaproteobacteria; Enterobacterales; Enterobacteriaceae. The record is from RNAcentral.